This is a long non-coding RNA of Hypanus sabinus (Atlantic stingray), 380 nucleotides long. RefSeq lists it as uncharacterized. The transcript is spliced from 3 exons. NCBI's taxonomy places the organism in Eukaryota, Metazoa, Chordata, Chondrichthyes, Myliobatiformes, Dasyatidae. The record is from RefSeq and is a predicted model, not a curated record.
UGCUGUGUUCUGAUUGUCAAAAGUCACUUCUGUUGUGAUUGAUUAGUUUAGAAGCUACUGCUGUUUUCCCCACUGGAUAACUGCUUGGUGUCCUGUUUCGAAUAUCCUGGGUGUAUAAAAUAGAACAUGCUACCUAAUGUGGAUCUCAGAAAUAGAGGUGUAUUGCGACUGAGUGAAACAACCCUGCAAGUGACAAUCCAAAAUCAGAUUAAAGAUCAGCCUGUUUCAAUGAAACCAUCAUGUAACAUAUCCUUCUGACAAUGUUACAGCACCAGAACCAGUAUGGCCUUGCCUCUAGUCGGCCUGUCUACAUACCGUGUCAAGAAACCUACCUUCUCCUGGAAAAUCUAGAACUUGGGAGUCACCACCUAAAAAUAAAG